AUUGAACGCUGGCGGCAUGCCUUACACAUGCAAGUCGAACGGUAACGGGCCUUCGGGUGCCGACGAGUGGCGGACGGGUGCGUAAUACAUCGGAACGUGCCCGAUCGUGGGGGAUAACGAGGCGAAAGCUUUGCUAAUACCGCAUACGAUCUACGGAUGAAAGCAGGGGACCGCAAGGCCUUGCGCGGACGGAGCGGCCGAUGGCAGAUUAGGUAGUUGGUGGGAUAAAAGCUUACCAAGCCGACGAUCUGUAGCUGGUCUGAGAGGAUGAUCAGCCACACUGGGACUGAGACACGGCCCAGACUCCUACGGGAGGCAGCAGUGGGGAAUUUUGGACAAAGGGCGCAAGCCUGAUCCAGCCAUGCCGCGUGCAGGAUGAAGGCCUUCGGGUUGUAAACUGCUUUUGUACGGAACGAAAAGCCUUCUUUUAAUACAGGAGGGUCAUGACGGUACCGUAAGAAUAAGCACCGGCUAACUACGUG
This 482-nucleotide ribosomal RNA is filed under the name uncultured bacterium. RNAcentral's name for it is "partial 16S ribosomal RNA". It matches the Rfam family "Bacterial small subunit ribosomal RNA", at positions 30 to 507 of the family's 1533-position model. The record is from RNAcentral.